UAGGACAUGGUGUACGGGGUAGCACGGAGAAUUUUGGAUUCUUAGGGUUGGGUUCAAUUCCCAUUGUUCUAG
RNAcentral lists this transfer RNA (72 nucleotides) under Hylopetes phayrei (Indochinese flying squirrel). RNAcentral describes it as "tRNA-Gln". It matches the Rfam family "tRNA". From Rfam's summary of the family: Transfer RNA (tRNA) molecules are approximately 80 nucleotides in length. Their secondary structure includes four short double-helical elements and three loops (D, anti-codon, and T loops). Further hydrogen bonds mediate the characteristic L-shaped molecular structure. tRNAs have two regions of fundamental functional importance: the anti-codon, which is responsible for specific mRNA codon recognition, and the 3' end, to which the tRNAs corresponding amino acid is attached (by aminoacyl-tRNA synthetases). tRNAs cope with the degeneracy of the genetic code in two manners: having more than one tRNA (with a specific anti-codon) for a particular amino acid; and 'wobble' base-pairing, i.e. permitting non-standard base-pairing at the 3rd anti-codon position. The record is from RNAcentral. Lineage: Eukaryota; Metazoa; Chordata; Mammalia; Rodentia; Sciuridae. RNAcentral also lists the same sequence under 1 other name.